CGGAUGUGUGGAUAAAAAGAACGUGGAAAACGAGUGCAGUAACGACGAUAUUUAAAAUAGUAUCAUUCAUAAUUCGAUAGAUGGACUUUUCAGCUACUUGUAAACGGCGAAAUUGUGUCUAAGUUGUGAAUGAGCUUUUUAUUUUCAUUUGCGUACCGAAGUGGUAAAACUGACGACCUAAAGUACGAUAUACGGAAUAAAGCAAGUUCUAAUACUCUCUGCAGUUUGUCCAGUGCUACUUGGCGCUGUUCAUUCCAAUUAGCCGUAAAUUUGUGAAAUAGAUCCCAAGAUAAUCUCCGUUUUAUUUAAUUCCAAAGAGGUUAUCUUUUUAAUAGUUGGCAUUUUCUAGCUUCUUGGUUGCUAUAAGGCAUAGUUGAAGUGCAGUGAGAGGAAGAGGGGAACUCACGGAAAGAGACUCCUUAUACUUUUGUCAACGGGUGUGUUCCAAAAUUCGCUAGUUAAACACUUUAUUAGCAGCGGUCCCAUUGAGUCAAAACCCCGCUGAAUGUUGCGACACAAUCUGAUCAUACCACAUAAUCAUUGCAGCGCCUACUUUUUGACUUCUAGCAGCCAAAUUGUUAUUCAGAUUUAGUUGGCGGUACGACUCCUUACAGCAGUAAAUUAUUCGAAUUAGUAACAAGCGAGUGAUUCGUAUGUGGAGAUAGGAAACGAAGACUGAGCAGAAGCACCCACGCUAAGUAAUUGUAUUCUUGAAUUGGGAGCCUGAAGAAUUAUGAUCAAGCUCAGCAUCUUUUCGUAGCGUCUUCGAGAAUUAGUCCUGUGAGCGGAAGGUUGAAAGUUAUAAAUGAUGUCUUAUUUUUUUGGAUGAUCUCCCCAGACCCAGAUGUCAUCUGUAAAGAAUUUAGUAGGACAAUUGAAGACGCUGUCUUCCAAUUGAUUCAGCGAAGCCUUUUCUUAAGAUCAUUCAUAUUCUUGUCAAA
Molecule: small RNA, 941 nt
Filed under: Saccharomyces cerevisiae YJM1450
Lineage: Eukaryota; Fungi; Ascomycota; Saccharomycetes; Saccharomycetales; Saccharomycetaceae
Description: PWR1
Source: RNAcentral